Xiphias gladius (swordfish) is the source of this 1077-nucleotide long non-coding RNA. RefSeq lists it as uncharacterized. Lineage: Eukaryota; Metazoa; Chordata; Actinopteri; Istiophoriformes; Xiphiidae. The transcript has 3 exons. The record is from RefSeq and is a predicted model, not a curated record.
AUCCGUCAAUCACGUCCAGUUUACGCAGCGAUCGGAGGUACAAACAAGGUGCAACAGCGUCAAAGUCUCCCAGAGGAGACCGUCUGAAAAUGUGCUCCGUUAUCCACAUUUCUACGAUUAUCGCGGUGGUUAGAGAGGUCAAGAGUCGGUCCCCAGGGCCGACAACACGGCGUCUUUGGAGCAGGAUGAAUAAUAACUUUUCCCUUCUUCAACCACCCUCUCCACCUUCCACCUCUUCCACAUCUAUCACCACGUCAAACCGGUCUGUCCUGGUCUUUGGCUGCCAGCUGCUUCCUGAAGCUCCGACACUGACAGCCUUUAUGCCCUGUGGAUUUUGUGGCUUUAAGGCUUUGCCGCUCGGUGCCCACGGAGAGUUCUUGGAAGGCCGGGGAUCCACAAAUCCUCCCGGCCGCCUCAAGCCUUCGGCCCACGCCGCAGAACAGUAAACCUGGCAGAGGCCGAGACCAGACUGUGGUCAGCUCCAACCCUCAGAGCUGGAGUCAGGACUCCCCUCUGUGUCAGGGCAGUAAACAGAGAGCUACAUGAAAACCCGCUGCACAAAGACACUGUCACAGACAGGGGGUCACGCGUCGAUCCCAUAUGACUGUAUGUCAAGUUACGAUAACAGUGUCCUCACCGGAGAAGACGACGCACCGACUCCCACCUCCUCACGUGGGGACAACAGCAACCCCCAGGCGUCCACGCAGGGGCAAUGACGGACCAGGACUGACGGCCGGCGGCUGAUGACAUUUUUAUCGGUCACCAGGAACGUGAUCAUCCCGGCACCGGCUCCGUAUCGUCCGUCCUCAACCGUCGCCUCAAAACACGACGGGCUUCUUCCUCUGCCCGGCUCCGCGUGGGAGCCGUCGGCAGGCCUGCGCUUCACCAAGAGCAUUUCAUCUGCAGCGGCGAGGCUCCAGGAUUCCAAACAUUUGUGUCGGGCGGAGAGCACGGCCGGUCGUGUGUAACGGCCUCUGAGCUGUUGCCGAUGCCGCUUUCACAACGAGCUCCGCUGGGAACCGCUACCUUUCACUUUCUGCUCCAAACCCUGAGAACGUUUAAAUGUAACUCUCUUCU